CAGUUGCUUGUACACACCACACGGGGGCGCCUACGGAAAGGCGUCCUCCACAGGUGGACCUACCUGGAGUUCAGUAUUCCGGAACUUCCCAGCCUCUGGAUUCAUUCUAUCUUGUUAUCUGACCGGACAAGUAAAAAUAAUAAAAACAAACGACUCCUGGAAACCUAACAGCACCGCUCACCACAGAAUCGAAAAACGAUCUCGGCGCUCUUGCAGUCGGAACUGAGAAUGCGGUAGAAGUUC
This 243-nucleotide long non-coding RNA is filed under the name Lepisosteus oculatus (spotted gar). RNAcentral describes it as "lncRNA (ENSLOCG00000022710.1)". The record is from RNAcentral. Lineage: Eukaryota; Metazoa; Chordata; Actinopteri; Semionotiformes; Lepisosteidae.